UGGCCGCCGCCACUAUCUCCUCUUCUCCCCACCUUCCUCUUUUCCUCUCUGUGAACAAACGAAGAAACACUGCCACCACCAUCCUCACCAUGGCGUCGCCGCUCCCCAGCUCCCCUCUCCGUUCUGAGGGCACCGUUAGAUGCGCCUCGUCCUCCUCUUUCUCCGUGUGCAAGGAAUCGAGCCGGGGUUCACCCAAUCAACGUCAAAAUCGUCGUUCCCUUCUCCAACUCCGGCGAGUAAUUCAUCAAUUCCGGCCACCCUCGUCAUCCUCCGUCCAAACCGAGCACGCCCUCGGCUUCCCCGCGUCCGGGCGCAUCCUCGACUCCAUCUUGAUCGUCCCCGUUUGCUUCCAGCCGUCAAGUUCGUCUCCGACCAGGGCUGCCCGUCAUGGCCGCCAUGUCCGAGCUCCGCCUCCGUGUGCUUCUAGUUGUUGGGCGACCCAGAACCAACACCAUCUGAACCAGCAGCGCAGUGGUAACAUCCUGAUCCCGCAGGCAUAGAUGGUUCUUCUUGCGUCGACACUUUCAACAGCCAACAAUAGCAGAUCUGCAGAUGGGCCUCGUCCCAGAUCUUUCCCUGUGCGGCCCAUUGCCGCGCGUUCAGCAACUUCUCACCGCACGCGGCUCAGGCCCAGUCCAUUCCGAUGCAUCAUGAGACCAGAUCCGGCCCAGGGCAUGUCAGCAUUUGCUUCUUCACGGAUAGGAUCACGAAGUGGUGUGGUGAGAUACGACAAGUUCUCCGGAUGUUCCUCGGCAAGUUUUAACACGCAAGCAUUUCCCCUAUACUUCUGCCCCUGCAGAAGUCGCUCUCCUAUUUUAUUUUGCCUUCUCCCUCAUGCUAUCCUUGAGUUGCGUUCUUGUCACGUGUCCCUUCCACUUGUUACCUCAAGCAGCCUAUAUUGCCUCCACCAACCACCUACAGCUAUUGUUUGGUUACCGGGUCUGCCUUGCGCGUCGUAGUGCAUUCUAGUGCUGUUUAUAUCGUGUUACCCUUAUCGCUAUCUUAUCGGGUUAUCUGUUGGGAGAUCAUGACACAUGGUUUAUGGUUAUAUCUGAUGAGGAUAUCAUGGUUACUUGUUAAUAGUUGUUAGCGGAGGCAUCGGUGGGUCAGCUGAUCGUUUUGUGAUGGCUCACUUGUGUUUCUUUAAAGCUUAGGACCUCGAGUUCUUGUUAUCUGUUCCGAGACUAAGCGCUCUAACCACACGUGGGUAUGCUUCUGGGUCUCCCCUCGACCACUGCCGGAAUCUACAGCUUUGUCCAGUGGCCACAACUAGUUUAUAUGUUUUACCAUUUGUUGUUGCGUGCAUGCCAGCUUGUUACUUAUUUAUUUUGGGAAGCCCCUGGGUGCCUUGUAUCCCUUGUUUCUGGUAUGCACGUAUAGGUGCGGCACGAGCGUUUAUCGCGUGCUGAAGCGAGUCAUUCGCCCCAGUGUGUGUUUUGACCCUCGGAAGUCGUGGUCGCAAACAGCUAGGUCCGUCUCGGAGAUUCGGCCGGACUUCGAUUCGGGUUCAACUUAGUUAGGUGGCUUCCUGGACAUUGUUGUCGUGAAGGAGAGUGUGUGUCAUGAUAUCCUUCCCUUGCUAGGUUGGGUUGAUCGUGCGUGUGGGCACAUUUGGGCACCCCUGCAGGGUAAAAUCUUAUCGAUAAGCCGUGUCCGCGGUUAUGGACGACUUGGAGCUGUAUGACUCGACCAUAGACAACUUACACCUGCUGUUUCAAUCAUAAUAACUUGCGUAGUAAGUUAGCGCAACUCUAAUAAUAAAUGGUUAAAACUUGACAACCGUGUGAGUGCCUUUGUAAGUACUUCGUUGCGAGGGGGGAACGCAUCGGCUGUGUUAUGUUUGCAGAGUAUAGAACUGUUAGUUAUGCGCUCUCUCACCUUCUCUGAUUAGACGACUGUUGUAGAGUGUCUCUAUAGGUUUUUAGUACUUGCGCGCUGCCGCUUAACCCCACCAUAUUUCCUAUGACGUUCCUCUUGCUCCUCUAAGUCCCCUGCGUGCCUCAAGUACAAAGGACGACUGGUUGACGAAUGCUUAUACGUCUUGAAGUCUUGUUAAGUACGAACCCGUACUUAUUGUUGCUUCUACGGGAUAUAACCGGGCAGGUAUGAAGAUCGGUACGAUGAAGAACGACGUUAGCAAGGUUACCCUUCCGGCUUGGCCUGGGCAGGGUUAUGGACGCCAUCGUUAUCUUCAGGACUCUUAGUCCAAUUUGUAUCUUGUCCGUACUCGGAUGUAUUUGAUCUUCUGUAUGAUUUGGAUCUUUGUAUGUAUAUAUUUGUAUCUUGACUCGUUGGAGUCGUUGUUGUAAUAUAUCUGUAUCUUGUGGCUCUAUUGUAAUCCUGUUGUAAUGAUUA
Long non-coding RNA from Lolium perenne, 2355 nucleotides. RefSeq lists it as uncharacterized. The record is from RefSeq and is a predicted model, not a curated record. Lineage: Eukaryota; Viridiplantae; Streptophyta; Magnoliopsida; Poales; Poaceae.